This 1638-nucleotide long non-coding RNA is filed under the name Zostera marina. Its description in RNAcentral is "long non-coding RNA (ZMAR_LNC005815)". Lineage: Eukaryota; Viridiplantae; Streptophyta; Magnoliopsida; Alismatales; Zosteraceae. The record is from RNAcentral.
UGCGAUUUGAUUCGAUCGAUCCGUUUGUUCUUGGGUCGCCUGUGUGGAGUGAUUCGUGGGUUGGCGACUUGGCGCAUGCUUCUAACUAUGACAGUUGAUAAGGAUGAAACCCGAUCAGUGCUCGACGAUAUUUCGAACAAGCGUCAAGUGGGGAAAUCAGCUCGAACUCCUCAGUUGCUCUGGAUCUGCUUCGCUGAGACUUUUCUCUGAAAUUCAACAUGUCCAAAUGAAUGUGAGUGACCCUCUAUUUUUAAGACUUUUUAUGGGGGUAAUCUGAUCAUUAAGGUCGUAACCGCCUAACUGUCCAGAUCUGGUUUUAAGUCGACAUUAUGGGAUCGACUUUUCCAAAGGUCGACUUCUGAAAAGUCGAUCCGGGUAAAGUCGACCUGUAAAAGUCGACUUGAAACCUUCCCCAACCUAUAUGGGUAUCUCCAUUCACCUCGGGCUAUCCGAAUCCUUAGUUGCUGGUAUUGUGACCAAGUUCAGAAUAUUGUAUCACCAGUACUUCUCCCUUCUCUACAUGUCAGGUUUUUCGAGAGAUACCUUUUAGUACUAUGGUAUGUGUGUCUGACCUUGUAUUAUCAGUAUUCCCCUCUUUUGCAUGAUGUGACAGGUACUGCUGGUGAUAUCUUUGGAUGCAUGAUCCUGUAUCACCAGUGAUUACAAACUAACUUCUACAUGUUAAUCGAUCCUGUAUCACCAGUGAUUACAAACUAACUUCUACAUGUUAAUCUUCUCAACUACCAACUGUAUCAAAUUAUGUUCGGUUAUUGAGUAGUCCGAUGGGCGAGGGCAUGGGCGUGGGCUUAGUUUCUUGGAUGGUUGUUUCGACGAAGCUAAUUAAAUUAUUUUUCCAAUUCUGUGUUGGUUGAAAAUUCUUUCUCUAAAGACUUGUCGAUUAUCUAAGGAUUGCCAUUUGCUAAAGCUAUUCACAAUUCUACAUUUGAUAACACCUCUUGAUCUCUAUGCGUGCAUGCGUCAACUCGAUUCGCAAGUUCCAUUUUUAAUUUAAGUUCUGAUGAUACCCUAAAUACUGAGCCUAAGCCUUAUUUUCACAAUUUGGGCAUCAAAGGGUCCAAAACCCGGCCUGAUGACUUAACAAGAAACUCUAAGCCUAACAAGUGAAUCAAGAACCCUAAGAGUUCAACCAAGCUCGUUAGUAUGAACGGUAUGAUCUAGUAUAUGAAAAUCACUACCAUUUAAAGAGAAUCAAUGACUGAUCAUUUUCUUCAUCUUUUGUUUGGAUUUUUUCACAAGAUAAUCCUAAAUAUUCUAAAUUCCAAACUUGAAUAACUCAAGGAUUAAAAAUGUCGACGAUCGAUCGAUCAUGGACGGUGAUUUUUUUUAAGUUAUCUUCCAUCAUGGAUAAUUCAUUAAACAAUAUCAUCAUUCAUCUCAAACCAAGUAUUUCAAUUUUCAAUUUGGCUUUGUCAUAGAUUAAGUUAAGAUUUGGUGUUAAAUAGUUAAUUGUUUAUUACAGAAAAAGAUCUGGUGCGACUAGGGUGUCAAACGAGUCAAGUUUUUGUUUAUAGAGUCGGGUUUGGCUCGUUAAGGCAUUGUCUGGGCUCAGACUCGACUCAGCUCGGUUUUGUCUCGAACUUGAAAUUUAAUUUGCAAUUCUGUAAAUUAAAAGAAAAA